Molecule: non-coding RNA, 83 nt
Organism: Hypoxylon sp. FL1857
Lineage: Eukaryota; Fungi; Ascomycota; Sordariomycetes; Xylariales; Hypoxylaceae
Source: the annotation of a GenBank genome assembly
UCCCACAUGGCGCAGUGGUUAAGCGCCUGGCGGUGCAUUUUUCGCGAUGGAAAUGCAAGUGGGUUCGAGUCCCGCUGUGGUAA